This 579-nucleotide unclassified non-coding RNA is filed under the name Hevea brasiliensis (rubber tree). Lineage: Eukaryota; Viridiplantae; Streptophyta; Magnoliopsida; Malpighiales; Euphorbiaceae. The record is from RNAcentral.
UAUUUUAUAUAUUAAUUAUAAAUUUUGUGAAUAAAAAUAUUUAAAUUUUAAAUAUUUUUAAUAUUUUCAUAUAAAAUUUAAAAGUAUUAUUAAUAAAUAUGUAAGCAUAGCAUGAUAAAAGUUGAAAUAUUGAUUUUAAAAAUAAAGUUUAGUUGAUUAAACUUAUUUAAUUAUAUUAAUAAAUGUAAUAUUAAUUACUAUAUGUUUAAUUUAUUUUUUAAUGACCUACUAAUUGAAUCAUUGAUCCAUUGGUGAGCUAGUGACUCAUCAACCCGAUCCUUCAGUUGGGUCAAGCUCUGGUUUGGACCGAGUUUAAUAACUAUGCUUAAAUGGGUUCUUCCAAAUGGAUUUAGAUUUCAAAAGUAGUUUUGUUGAUUUUCACUGGACAUAUUUAGUUGCACCCUUGAAUAAAAGGGUGUCCCAGUGUACGAGGCUUCCUACAUUGCAGGCUAUGGGAGAGUUAGUUGUACCUUCUAAAUCAUGGGGAGAAAUAGUAUCCAAGAAAGCCACCUCACACUUCUAUUACAGUGUGAGUGUGUCAAAUGACUGUCAAUGUAACUAGUGUGCUUUCUCUUGCAG